GCCAGUAUGGCAUAAUGGUUUGAGCAUUGGACUAGGACUCUAGAGACCAGGGUUUGGAUCCCAGUUCGGCCA
Molecule: non-coding RNA, 72 nt
Organism: Phrynosoma platyrhinos (Desert horned lizard)
Lineage: Eukaryota; Metazoa; Chordata; Lepidosauria; Squamata; Phrynosomatidae
Source: the annotation of a GenBank genome assembly